Molecule: long non-coding RNA, 362 nt
Filed under: Parus major (Great Tit)
Lineage: Eukaryota; Metazoa; Chordata; Aves; Passeriformes; Paridae
Description: lncRNA (ENSPMJG00000007443.1)
Source: RNAcentral
CAGUGGAAUCACGGCAGAAGGCAGAAACCUCUUUGGAGGGUUAUUCCUGCUCCUCUUGGCAAAGCAGUCGGUGAUGGGGCUAGAAGUGGAGUAUCACUGUCUGAUUUAAAAUAUGUAAAAGACAUUCAGGACUCUGAAGGAGCUAAAGCUCAGGAAAAACCUCUUUGAAGUCACCAAAGGUAACUAUUGCAUGUUUUUGUACGUCUCUUGUUUUCUACACUCAUAUUACCCUGAAAUAGCAAAAGCUUGAAAAUCUAAUUAAAAAAAAUAACUCAGAGCAUAACAUUCUGAUCAGGUAAUAUAAAUUGCUGUGAGAGCAGAGAAGCACAGCUGUUAAUAAAUAAGCUAAUCAUUCAUUUAAG